GUAGGUGAACCUGCGGAAGGAUCAUUAUUGAAAUAAACCUGAUGGGUUGUUGCUGGUUCUCUAGGGAGCAUGUGCACACCUUGUCAUCUUUAUAUCUCCACCUGUGCACUUUUUGUAGACCUUUCAGGUCUAUGUUGCUUCAUUUACCCCAAUGUAUGUUAAAUAGAAUGUUGUGCCUAUAAUAAUAUAUACAACUUUCAGCAACGGAUCUCUUGGCUCUC
Molecule: unclassified non-coding RNA, 221 nt
Filed under: rhizosphere metagenome
Description: partial ribosomal RNA internal transcribed spacer region
Source: RNAcentral